GCUAGCGUAGCUUAACCAAAGCAUAACACUGAAGAUGUUAAGAUGGGCCCUAGAAAGCCCCGCGAGGC
This 68-nucleotide transfer RNA is filed under the name Malthopsis jordani. Its description in RNAcentral is "tRNA-Phe". It matches the Rfam family "tRNA". From Rfam's summary of the family: Transfer RNA (tRNA) molecules are approximately 80 nucleotides in length. The record is from RNAcentral. Lineage: Eukaryota; Metazoa; Chordata; Actinopteri; Lophiiformes; Ogcocephalidae.